RNAcentral lists this ribosomal RNA (1033 nucleotides) under Microbacterium aerolatum. Its description in RNAcentral is "bacterial SSU rRNA". It matches the Rfam family "Bacterial small subunit ribosomal RNA", at positions 46 to 1090 of the family's 1533-position model. The record is from RNAcentral. Lineage: Bacteria; Bacillati; Actinomycetota; Actinomycetes; Micrococcales; Microbacteriaceae.
GCUUACACAUGCAAGUCGAACGAUGAAGCCCAGCUUGCUGGGUGGAUUAGUGGCGAACGGGUGAGUAACACGUGAGCAACCUGCCCCUGACUCUGGGAUAAGCGCUGGAAACGGCGUCUAAUACUGGAUACGAGUAGCGAUCGCAUGGUCAGUUACUGGAAAGAUUUUUUGGUUGGGGAUGGGCUCGCGGCCUAUCAGCUUGUUGGUGAGGUAAUGGCUCACCAAGGCGUCGACGGGUAGCCGGCCUGAGAGGGUGACCGGCCACACUGGGACUGAGACACGGCCCAGACUCCUACGGGAGGCAGCAGUGGGGAAUAUUGCACAAUGGGCGGAAGCCUGAUGCAGCAACGCCGCGUGAGGGAUGACGGCCUUCGGGUUGUAAACCUCUUUUAGCAGGGAAGAAGCGAGAGUGACGGUACCUGCAGAAAAAGCGCCGGCUAACUACGUGCCAGCAGCCGCGGUAAUACGUAGGGCGCAAGCGUUAUCCGGAAUUAUUGGGCGUAAAGAGCUCGUAGGCGGUUUGUCGCGUCUGCUGUGAAAUCCCGAGGCUCAACCUCGGGCCUGCAGUGGGUACGGGCAGACUAGAGUGCGGUAGGGGAGAUUGGAAUUCCUGGUGUAGCGGUGGAAUGCGCAGAUAUCAGGAGGAACACCGAUGGCGAAGGCAGAUCUCUGGGCCGUAACUGACGCUGAGGAGCGAAAGGGUGGGGAGCAAACAGGCUUAGAUACCCUGGUAGUCCACCCCGUAAACGUUGGGAACUAGUUGUGGGGUCCAUUCCACGGAUUCCGUGACGCAGCUAACGCAUUAAGUUCCCCGCCUGGGGAGUACGGCCGCAAGGCUAAAACUCAAAGGAAUUGACGGGGACCCGCACAAGCGGCGGAGCAUGCGGAUUAAUUCGAUGCAACGCGAAGAACCUUACCAAGGCUUGACAUAUACGAGAACGGGCCAGAAAUGGUCAACUCUUUGGACACUCGUAAACAGGUGGUGCAUGGGUUGUCGUCAGCUCGUGUCGUGAGAUGUUGGGUUAAGUCCCGC